This is a long non-coding RNA of Cephus cinctus (wheat stem sawfly), 1742 nucleotides long. RefSeq lists it as uncharacterized. NCBI's taxonomy places the organism in Eukaryota, Metazoa, Arthropoda, Insecta, Hymenoptera, Cephidae. The record is from RefSeq and is a predicted model, not a curated record. The transcript has 2 exons.
AGCGCACUGAGCCCCAGCCCUGACCUGCCUCGCGAAACACCCUCUCGUGGCCCGCGGAACCACUACUCCUUCCCCCUCUUCCUUCUCUUCUUCUUCUUCUUCUUCUCCUUCUCCUACCACGGAAAUAGCAAUUCCCCACAGCCUGUCCAAGUGUUACCAGUAUAAAGCUAUCACUGCCACUACCAAUCCCCCACGACCUCCCCAACCGUCACACUGUUUUAUGUACUGGCGCGCGCGCGCGUUUAUCCAUGAAUAUUCGAAAAGACGAAAGAAGCUCUGUAUCCUACGGGAGAUGCGAUGCUGCUGCUGCUGCAACUGCAACUGCUUCCUCGAUCGAUCCCUCGUAACGAGCGCAACGCUCCAGUAUUUGACGACGAUGUUCUAUGCACUGGUGGGAUAAUCGUCUUCCUGGGUGAAGAAACUUGAUGCACUCCAAGAGGAGGCUGUAGGGCACAUCGCAUGAGAAAUCGUGAUUCCUAAAGUAUUCUGGAUUCUCUUUAGGUUUAACGAUGUAUGUACUUUGGGGUUAGUUGAGAAACUGAGAAUGAGGUGAAGAGAUAUCGUUAGAUAAGUACUAUCGGUUAAUUAUUGUUUACAACUGCCUUUGCGACCUGCGACAGUCAUUUAUACUGCGAACGUGUCUUGUUUCGCAGUGUAUCUAUUGUUUUAACAGACAUAGCGAGCGAUCGUUUCCAACGAUGAGCUUUGAGUAACUAUAUGAAUUUCUACGGUUCUUACGUCAGGUAGAAUAGUCGCAAUGCGCAAUAUUAAUAAUUUCUCAUAGUACAGAAAUGUGAACUAGGGAAAAACAAAUCAAAAACAAGGACUCAAUACGAAGUAACUCGAAAAUACGGUGCAUAUCUGUAUAUGCAUAAUUGAUAUAUGUAUAAAAUUCCUAUUUAGAAACACCGACAUAAGCCCACGCACAUUCUUUACAUAUUUUAUCAUAUAUUUUAUGAUUCGAACUUUGCGCUAAAAAUUCUUGAGCACCGUACUCACUCUACAUCCUAGGAUAAGAAAACUAACUCGAUUUUCGUGGGAUAAUAAACCACGACAAUCCUAGAUCGUAUUAAAGAUGUAAACAAGGCGAUGACAUCUAUUAAUUCUCUUGGAAGAAACACACAAUGCGUGUCAUGACGCAGUAAAUAGAUAUUUUGAACAUUUAUGAGAAAGGGAAAUGCGAUUAUUGCGAGAAGUCACGUUGCUGUUUUAUAGCAUGUGUAAAAAUAACGACUCCUCCUUCUUUCUCUUUCACACACACUCACUAACUCAUUCAGUCUCUCUCUCUCUCUCGUUCUAUAUAUUCUAUUUGCUGAAACCUCAUUCUCUCAUCACCCUGGCCAGUCUAGCGAAUAGUUAGUAUAUCUGUCAGCAGUUGCGUUCGGUACGUCAAAUUCGAUCUAGUAAUAGGAAAUAAAACAUAAUUAAGGCUACUUCUGUUGCAAUGCGCGAUUAUCUGCAUUCUGUAGUUACUAAUGCAACAGUACAUAAUACGUGUUGACUGCAUCAUAGUUUGAGGAGUGUACUGCAAUGAACGAGGACAGACAAUGUUGUCAUUCUGUUAGUGAUACAACGAGCGGGGAUUGAAUGGAAAAUAAAAUAGCGUGAAACGAUAACCUCCUAUUCUGAGAAUUUUGAAAAUUAAAAAUAGAGGCUUACGGUUUAAGUGUAUUCAUGCAGUUUUUUGGGUAAUUUGUAUUUUUUCAUUUGUGCGAUAUAAAAAAAUAAAGCAAUGAAAACAA